GAUGAACGCUGGCGGCGUGCCUAAUACAUGCAAGUCGAACGCAUUGAGAGAAGUGCUUGCACUUUUCAAUUUGAGUGGCGAACGGGUGAGUAACACGUGGGCAACCUACCUGAUAGCGGGGGAUAACGAGUGGAAACAUUCGCUAAUACCGCAUAACAAUAGAGAAGGCAUCUUCUUUAUUUAAACGGCGCUUGCAAGCGUCACUAUCAGAUGGGCCCGCGGUGCAUUAGUUAGUUGGUGGGGUGAAGGCCUACCAAGACGAUGAUGCAUAGCCGAGGUGAGAGACUGAUCGGCCACAUUGGGACUGAGACACGGCCCAAACUCCUACGGGAGGCUGCAGUAGGGAAUCUUCCACAAUGGACGAAAGUCUGAUGGAGCAACGCCGCGUGUGUGAUGAAGGCUUUCGGGUCGUAAAGCACUGUUGUAUGGGAAGAAAUGCUAGGCUAGGAGAUGAGCUUAGUUUGACGGUACCAUACCAGAAAGGGACGGCUAAAUACGUGCCAGCCGCCGCGGUAA
This 516-nucleotide ribosomal RNA is filed under the name uncultured bacterium. RNAcentral's name for it is "partial 16S ribosomal RNA". It matches the Rfam family "Bacterial small subunit ribosomal RNA", at positions 28 to 523 of the family's 1533-position model. The record is from RNAcentral.